RNAcentral lists this ribosomal RNA (468 nucleotides) under uncultured bacterium. RNAcentral's name for it is "partial 16S ribosomal RNA". It matches the Rfam family "Bacterial small subunit ribosomal RNA", at positions 28 to 507 of the family's 1533-position model. The record is from RNAcentral.
GACGAACGCUGGCGGCGUGCUUAACACAUGCAAGUCGAACGGAAAGGCCCUGCUUUUGUGGGGUGCUCGAGUGGCGAACGGGUGAGUAACACGUGAGUAACCUGCCCUUGACGUUGGGAUAACUUCAGGAAACUUGGGCUAAUACCGGAUAGGAGCUCCUGCUGCAUGGGGGGGGUUGGAAAGUUUCGGCGGUUGGGUAUGGACUCGCGGCUUAUCAGCUUGUUGGUGGGGUAGUGGCUUACCAAGGCUUUGACAGGUAGCCGGCCUGAGAGGGUGACCGGCCACAUUGGGACUGGGAUACGGCCCAGACUCCUACCGGAGGCAGCAGUGGGGAAUAUUGCACAAUGGGCGGAAGCAUGAUGCAGCACCGCCGCGUGCGGGAUGACGGCCUUCGGGUUGUAAACCGCUUUCGUCUGUGACGAAGCGUGAGUGACGGUAAUGGGUAAAGAAGCACCGGCUAACUACGUG